RNAcentral lists this long non-coding RNA (2741 nucleotides) under Lactuca sativa (garden lettuce). RNAcentral describes it as "long non-coding RNA (LSAT_LNC008679)". Lineage: Eukaryota; Viridiplantae; Streptophyta; Magnoliopsida; Asterales; Asteraceae. The record is from RNAcentral.
CUGAGCUUUCAAAGCAAAUAUUUUCUGGUUGUCACACAAGCUAAUGAACAUUGAAGAUUCCCUGGCUCUUGCCGAAGCUGUAGUGCCGUUUUACGAUCCCAUAUGCAACACCCGCAAAUUUGGGGUUAAACACAGUAUACAAUCUUAGCUAAAGAUGUACUAGUUGUAAUGACUAUCUUAAGGAUACAAGGAGCGCUUAAAUCCAACUUUGUAUGAAGAAUUUAUGAUUCUUCGAAGUUUCACAAACAACCAGUCACAAUUAUACUUGUUAUAAAAAGUUAAUUAGACAUAGGUUGUUUAUUAGCCUAAGAAAUCUAAACAAAAGUUGUAGUAGUUGUAAAACGAGAGCGUGGAUAUAGAGAAUGCCCAAAUCUUACUUUAUAUGAGGAAGUUAUGAUUUAUUGAAGUUUCAGCGCAACGGUAUGUGACAUAAAAAUCGAAAUUCAAAUAGGUUGAGUAUUAGCUGAAACAAUCUAAAAAAGAAUUGACGAUCUCAUGAAUAAGAUUUGUCAAUAUAAAGACAUUUGAUAAAGGUUGUCAUGUGAAAUACUUAUAAUUUUUAUACAUACUUUAACAGUCUAAGCCUAUUAAACAUAUAACUUUAAAAAUAAAUUGAGAAUUAUCCAAUAGAGUCUAAAUGAAAGUUGUAGUACUAGUUGAUUGCGACGCGUGGAUAUAUAAAGAACUUCGAAAACAGAGCUCGUAGAAAGAAGAUAUGAAUUUUAGAAAAUAUGAAAAUUCAUACACUUAGCACGUAGACAUUCUAGAAGCAUGUGAUUCAUUGGUAUAAUUAGAUCUUGUAGUAGUUCCAUGCUAUAACAACUUAGUAUGUUCGUUCUGUUAUAGUAUCUUAGUAUGUUCUUCCUGUUAUCUUUUAUUAUAUCUAGUAUGAAUUGAACUUCUAAACUAUAUCCCUUAUAGUUCACUAGUAUGUUUACUUGAAAUGUUAUUGAAAAGACUCAUUUAUCUACUAAGUUAUGUUUGUGCUUUAAAAACGGAGUUUUGUUAAACUAUAAAGCAACAUAACUUUAAAAGAGUUUUGAAAUGUUUUGAUCACUUAUAUAAGACAUAAGCAAUCUUUUGAAAAAUGUUUAUAACAAACAUUUACACAAUUAUCAUUGUGUUCAACUUGUAUUCCCCAUUAAAGCAUUUAAAACAGUUUAAAAGAUUAAUUACGUGGUAUGAACUCACUUGAUGUAGGUGAUUCAAACGAAUAGGUGUGUAAGGAUGAGAAGCUCCACGAAUGAAGUCCUGAGACUUAACGAGUCCUAAAUGACAUAUAAUGGCAUAUAUUGACUUAAAUAUAGCUUUUAGAGGCAACCAAAUGCAAGGAAACACCUUACGGGACUAGGAAACACUUUGACCAAGUGUUGGAAUCACAUGUGAUUGGACUAAAGGAUGUUUAAGGCCAAGAAAAGGUGUUUGCGGCUAGGGUGUAAACUCAUGGCCGUACUCAUAGAAAUGUGCAUAAGAGGGUGUUUGAAUGCUAGGGAACUAGAGGGACCAUUGUUGUUCACAAGGAUGAGCAAAACCAAUGUUUUGGAGGGUGUUGAGGUGUUUACGGCCAGACCAUAAACUCUAUGGCCAUAAACUCACCAAAAGGGACUUAUCUUGGGUCUUAAAGGGAAGGAGUUUCAAAGGUUCAAGUGUUCUAAGGUUUANGGAGGGUGUUGAGGUGUUUACGGCGAGACCAUAAACUCUAUGGCCAUAAACUCACCAAUGGGACUUAUCUUGGGUCUUAAAGGCAAGGAGUUUCAAAGUUUCAAGUGUUCUAAGGGUUAGCAAGGGUCUAGAAGUGUUUAAGGCCUAAAACACCACACUUUCAACGGUUUACGGCCAGGGUGUAAACUCAUGGCCGUAAACUCUCUUUGAUGAAGUUUUAAGGAUCUAAUCAAGUGUUCCAACUAGAUAACAAGCUAAGGAGAGAGUAUUUACGAUAUAGAGGCUUGAAAUGGUGAUUAAGUUCAAAGAACACUAGUGUGUGUUCUUGGUGUUUCUUGAAGAUCUAAGAAAAGAUGAUUUCCAUGGAUGAAAUCAUGAGAUGAUACUAGAUUAAGAGAUGUGAGAAAUGGCUAGAAAUGAUCAAGAGCCAUAUAUAUGGACUAGUGUUUAUGGCCAGGGUGUAAANACUACUGUUUAUGGCCAGGGUGUAAACUCUAAGAGUGUAUGGCUAGGGUGUAAACUCUAUGACUUUACGACUAGGGUGUAAACUUAUGGACAUUGUGGCCGUGAACUCCUUAGGAUGAGGUUAAGGCUUGAUCUGUUGUACAUUGCUUUAGUAGGUAAUUCCUAACACUUAUUCCUUAUGUGUACUAGGCUAAAACUCCUUAGAAUGACCUUUAACAAUGCUAGAACUCAUUAGAAAUGAGUAUGACACUGAGUUGAGUUGACUGACUGAGCUUUCAAAGCAAAUAUUUUCAGGUUGUCACACAAGCUAAUGAACAUGGAACAUUCCCUGGCUCUUGCCGAAGCUGUAGUGCCGUUUUACGAUCCCAUAUGCAACACCCGCAAAUUCGGGGUUAAACACAGUAUACAAUCUUAGCUAAAGAUGUACUAGUUGUAAUGACUAUCUUAAGGAUACAAGGAGCGCUUUAAUCCAACUUUGUAUGAAGAAUUUAUGAUUCUUCGAAGUUUCACAAACAACCAGACACAAUUAUACAUGUUAUACAAAGUUAGGUUGUUUAUUAGCCUAAGAAAUCUAAACAAAAGUUGUAGUAGUUGUAAAACGAGAGCAUGGAUAU